CACUUGGUGAAUCCUGGUAGCCCCAACGUGGGACACGUCAAGUUUUUGAGGGGAGUUCCGAUUCAUUUUGUUUGUAGGAGGUCAGCCUAUUCUAUAUCACGGUCACAGGUACCAGCCCAAUAAGGCGAUCUCACUUUGAGACACUGUAGUCAGUGGAUUCUUCCUAUCUUCAGUUGACAACAACGCGGAGCACUGCCAUUCAGGCCUGUGUUCGAAAAUGGCCACCUCAACUUGUCGUCGUUUUCACCUGUCAAUCAAAUGAAUCUCCGCCCCCUCUGGACCUGGAAGAAUCCAUUGGCACGAAGGGG
Branchiostoma floridae (Florida lancelet) is the source of this 308-nucleotide long non-coding RNA. RefSeq lists it as uncharacterized. The transcript has 3 exons. Lineage: Eukaryota; Metazoa; Chordata; Leptocardii; Amphioxiformes; Branchiostomatidae. The record is from RefSeq and is a predicted model, not a curated record.